AGAGUUUGAUCCUGGCUCAGGAUGAACGCUGGCGGCGUGCUUAACACAUGCAAGUCGAACGAACCUUCGGGUUAGUGGCGGACGGGUGAGUAACGCGUGAGAAUCUGCCCUCAGGAGGGGGAUAACGGCUGGAAACGGCCGCUAAUACCCCAUAUGCCGAGAGGUGAAAUGAGUUUUCGCCUGAGGAUGAGCUCGCGUCUGAUUAGCUAGUUGGUGGGGUAAGAGCCUACCAAGGCAUCGAUCAGUAGCUGGUCUGAGAGGAUGAUCAGCCACACUGGGACUGAGACACGGCCCAGACUCCUACGGGAGGCAGCAGUGGGGAAUUUUCCGCAAUGGGCGAAAGCCUGACGGAGCAACGCCGCGUGAGGGAUGAAGGCCUCUGGGCUGUAAACCUCUUUUAUCAAGGAAGAAGAUCUGACGGUACUUGAUGAAUAAGCCACGGCUAAUUCCGUGCCAGCAGCCGCGGUAAUACGGGAGUGGCAAGCGUUAUCCGGAAUUAUUGGGCGUAAAGCGUCCGCAGGCGGCCUUAUAAGUCUGUUGUCAAAGCGUGGAGCUUAACUCCAUUUCGGCAAUGGAAACUGUGAGGCUUGAGUGUGGUAGGGGCAGAGGGAAUUCCCGGUGUACCGGUGAAAUGCGUAGAUAUCGGGAAGAACACCAGUGGCGAAGGCGCUCUGCUGGGCCAUAACUGACGCUCAUGGACGAAAGCCAGGGGAGCGAAAGGGAUUAGAUACCCCUGUAGUCCUGGCCGUAAACGAUGAACACUAGGUGUCGGGGGAAUCGACCCCCUCGGUGUCGUAGCCAACGCGUUAAGUGUUCCGCCUGGGGAGUACGCACGCAAGUGUGAAACUCAAAGGAAUUGACGGGGGCCCGCACAAGCGGUGGAGUAUGUGGUUUAAUUCGAUGCAACGCGAAGAACCUUACCAGGGUUUGACAUCCUGCGAAUCCCUUGGAAACUUGGGAGUGCCUUCGGGAGCGCAGUGACAGGUGGUGCAUGGCUGUCGUCAGCUCGUGUCGUGAGAUGUUGGGUUAAGUCCCGCAACGAGCGCAACCCACGUCUUUAGUUGCCAGCAUUCAGUUGGGCACUCUAGAGAGACCGCCGGUGAUAAACCGGAGGAAGGUGUGGAUGACGUCAAGUCAUCAUGCCCCUUACAUCCUGGGCUACACACGUACUACAAUGCUACGGACAAAGGGCAGCAAACUCGCGAGAGCUAGCAAAUCCCAUAAACUGUGGCUCAGUUCAGAUCGUAGGCUGCAACUCGCCUGCGUGAAGGAGGAAUCGCUAGUAAUCGCAGGUCAGCAUACUGCGGUGAAUACGUUCCCGGGCCUUGUACACACCGCCCGUCACACCAUGGAAGUUGGCCACGCCCGAAGCCGUUACUCCAACCCUUGUGGAGGAGGACGUCGAAGGUGGGGCUGAUGACUGGGGUGAAGUCGAAACAAGGUA
RNAcentral lists this ribosomal RNA (1444 nucleotides) under metagenome. RNAcentral's name for it is "bacterial SSU rRNA". It matches the Rfam family "Bacterial small subunit ribosomal RNA". The record is from RNAcentral.